AUGAACUCGCCAAAACUCACAAAGAGAAGAACCAAACAAGAACCAAGAAAGAUGAUGCAAGGAUGCAAUGGUUUGAGCUCUUUACGAAUGAUACGAUCAAGCUACUCAUCGAGAGCCCCCCUUGAUAGCACGACAAUCGAUCCUAUAACCCGGUCUCCCAACUACCAUCACGAGACCGGUAAAAUAGAAAACCUAUCAAGGGCAAACCUUUGCCUUGCACAUGGUCCACUUGAGCUAGAUGAUGACGAUCUUGACUCCCUCAAGUUGGACCACCUUUCUUGGUUGCAUUGGCUCGAUGAAGACUAG
Molecule: ribosomal RNA, 306 nt
Filed under: Triticum aestivum (bread wheat)
Lineage: Eukaryota; Viridiplantae; Streptophyta; Magnoliopsida; Poales; Poaceae
Description: partial small subunit ribosomal RNA
Source: RNAcentral